This 473-nucleotide ribosomal RNA is filed under the name uncultured bacterium. Its description in RNAcentral is "bacterial SSU rRNA". It matches the Rfam family "Bacterial small subunit ribosomal RNA", at positions 355 to 825 of the family's 1533-position model. The record is from RNAcentral.
UGGGGAAUUGUUCACAAUGGGCGCAAGCCUGAUGACGCAACGCCGCGUGGGGGAUGAAGGUCUUCGGAUCGUAAACCCCUGUCGAGUGGGACGAAUAACUCACGAAUUAAUACCUCGUGGGAAUGACGGUACCGCUAAAGGAAGCCACGGCUAACUCUGUGCCAGCAGCCGCGGUAAUACAGAGGUGGCAAGCGUUGUUCGGAAUUACUGGGCGUAAAGGGCGCGUAGGCGGCCAUCUAAGUCAGACGUGAAAUCCCCGGGCUCAACCCGGGAACUGCGUCUGAUACUGGAGGGCUUGAAUCCGGGAGAGGGAUGCGGAAUUCCAGGUGUAGCGGUGAAAUGCGUAGAUAUCUGGAGGAACACCGGUGGCGAAGGCGGCAUCCUGGACCGGUAUUGACGCUGAGGCGCGAAAGCCAGGGGAGCAAACGGGAUUAGAUACCCCCGUAGUCCCUGAGCGGGCUGGCAAGGCGCAU